This is a non-coding RNA of Phrynosoma platyrhinos (Desert horned lizard), 72 nucleotides long. NCBI's taxonomy places the organism in Eukaryota, Metazoa, Chordata, Lepidosauria, Squamata, Phrynosomatidae. The record is from the annotation of a GenBank genome assembly.
GCCAUCAUGGCAUAGUGGUUUGAGCAACAAACUACAACUCUGGAGACCAGGGUUCAAUUCCCCAGUCAGCCA